Molecule: long non-coding RNA, 1295 nt
Organism: Oncorhynchus kisutch (coho salmon)
Lineage: Eukaryota; Metazoa; Chordata; Actinopteri; Salmoniformes; Salmonidae
Exons: 2
Source: RefSeq, a predicted model, not a curated record
AUACGUUGGAAGAAGAGAAGCAGGAAGAGAAGCCCAAUAUUCAUUGUGUUUUCAGAGGAAGUAAUGUAUCUGCUGCAUCCAGGGAUGGAGGUGAAGAUCUUGAGGGAGGCUGCAGAAACAAACUUUUAAACGAAAGGUAACUUCUAGGCAUAGGAAAAAACAUAUGGAUGUUUUUGUUUUCCAUUGUAUUUUUAAUAACAUGUAGAAAAUACACUUUAUGGCACUGUCAAGAAGCAUUAUGACCAUCAUAAUCAUAUAAGCCAGAUAGGCCUAUCACACACAGCACAUGCCCUUGUGUCAGUCAUCAGUCACAAAGAGGGUGUCUUAUCCUGCUCCUAAAAUCUGCUCCUGCAUUCAUCCCAGUCAUCAGCAAUAGAGGUAGGUACAUGUCUGACAGCAAUGGGUGUGCAAUUUCAAUGAUAAUUUAAUAUGGUAGAUUUUAGAAAAUGUUAUAUAACAUAAGCAUAACGUUUACAAGUAGGCUAGGGUGUAAUGGAAUAGUUUGCCUUGUUUUGUGGGUUUUGACACUCUUAUGUAGGUGUCAUAACCAGCCAUAAAAAUAUCACAAUAUGUCACAACUAAAUAUGUGUCAAUGCCAGUGUUAUGACCAUAUUAUGGCAGGAUAUGACAUUAUGACAUGGUUAUGACUGUUUCAUAAGUAUUACCGAAACGUUAUGCUGAAGUACUGAAACUCCCACAUGUUGUUUCUUAACGUUUCAUUAAGUUUUUGAGGACAUUCCCAAUGUCAAACCAGUUGCACAACUUUCAUAGAACAUUACCAACAUUUGAAUGAAAUGUAACCGUGUUUGAACUUUUAGGAAACGUUCUGUUAAAGUAAUGAUAUACCAAGAAAAUAAAUAUUGUAUUUUUGUCAAGUUCCAUAAAUGUGCUGAGAAUGUUCCAAAGCCAAGCAGCUGUCCUGCACCAUUCCCAGAAAGUUAUGGGAAGGUUGUUUGCUAAAUAACCUUAGGACAACCACGAUCUCACCAAGCUCUAAGAAACACAUGGUUCUCAAAGGGUUAUGUGCUAGCUGGGAUGUGUCUGUCCUCACUCUACUAAGCAGACUGGUCUUCAGCAGACUGGUCUUCAGCAGACUGGUCUUCAGCAGACUGGUCUUCAGCAGACUGGUCUUCAGCAGACUGGUCUUCAGCAGACUGGUCUUCAGCAGACUGCUGUUACACAGUGUUUGCAUAAGAACAUGGCCAAUAAUUGCCUUUUGAGGAAAGCAUGCUGGUAACUGAUAAUAACAUCUGCUAACCAUGUGUAUGUGACCAAUAAAGUUGGAUUUGAUUUGA